Molecule: small nuclear RNA, 102 nt
Filed under: Dasypus novemcinctus (nine-banded armadillo)
Lineage: Eukaryota; Metazoa; Chordata; Mammalia; Cingulata; Dasypodidae
Source: RNAcentral
GUGCUCACUUCAGCAGCACAUAUACUAAAACUGGAACAACACAGAGAAGAUUAGCAUGGAUGCAAGGAUGACAUGCAAAUUCGUGAAGCGUUCCAUAUUUUA